AAUUCUGAUCUUUCUUUGAGACAAGGUGUCAUGUAGCCCAGGCGAAGCUCAAAGUUAUUAUGACCUUUUAAAUACCUUGAAUUCCUGAUCCUUCUGUUUCCAUCUCCAGAGUAUUGGACUGCAGGCAUGUACCACGAUGCCUAGCUAUGAGCUCUGAAUUUUCUUGAUUGGCAAGAAAUAGCUGAGAGAUGGUAAAAGGCUUUGCUAUGUAUUUACCCAAACUAUCCUUAGCUGGGUCUGAACCCAUUUUCAAAACAUACUUAGAAACAAAGGCUAAAGAGAAGGCUUAGAUGUUAAACCACUCACUGUUCUGCACAGGAUCCAGGCUUAGUUCCCAGCACCUACAUGGCAGCCCAGAACUGCUAUAACACCAGUUCUAUGGGGAGACAAUGUCCUCUUCUGGCUUCCUUGGGCUCCUACAUAUAUGCGGUGUACAUAAACUAACGUAGAUACACAUCUCAUUACAAUAAUACUUUAAAAAUGAAUAUUGUCUGGUGGAGAAAAAUGUUUCCGUAGUUUGACUAAGACAUCUCAUCCUCAGGGUUUUAUUUCAAAGAAACAGUCAGAGGCAUUGUUUUGUAGACACAGAGGUUCAUUUUGUAAGUAAACCUUUACUUUGCUGUGAUUGACAGAUAUCAGUAAUUGUCAAAAUGAAUGAACCGCUGUUAACGUACUAUUAACUUAAGCGCAUACUUAGUGUGGUGAGGAGGCACAUUUCUUUAUUCCCAGAACUCAGGAGGCAGAGGCAGGCAGAUCUCUAUGAGUUUGAGGCUAGCCUGGUCUAAAUUCUGAAUUCUAGGCUAACCAGAGCUAUGUAGAUGGCAAGACCUUGUCUCUAAAACAAGCUCUAUCCCAGUUAGGGUUACUAUCGCGAUGCUGAAACACCGUGACCAAAGCAACCUGGGGAGGAAAGGGUUUGUUUGGCUUCUGUUUCAUCCCCACUGUUCAUCAUCAGAGGAAGUCAGGGCAGGAAUGCUGACAGGCAGGAACCUGGAGGCAGGAGCUGAUGCAGAGGCCAUGGAGGGUGCUGCUUACUGGCUUGUUCCUCAUGACUUGCUCAGCCUGCUUUCUUCAGGACCACCAGCCCAGGAAUGGCAUCACCCGAGGUGGGCUGUGCCCUCCCCCAUCAAUCACUAUUAAUUAAAUGACCUAGAGCAGAUGUUUUUUGUUUGUUGUUUUUGUUUUGAGACAGUGUCUCACUAUUUUUCUCUGAUUGUCCUGGAACUCACUAUGUAGACAAAGUUGGUCUUGAACUCACAGAGUUAUGCUUGCCUCUGCCUCCCAAAUGCCUGGUAUUAAAGGUGUGCACUACCAUGCCCAGCUACCUACAGUCAGAUCUUUAUUAGAGACAUUUUGUUAAUUGAGAUUCCUUCCUCUCAGAUGUCUUUGGCCCCGUGUUAAGUUAACAUAAAACUUUCCAGUAUACUUCCUCCAAGUAUACUUUCUCUUUCUUUUCUUCCCACCCCAAGUCACAGUCUCUCUGUGUUUAGCCUAGGCUAGCCUUGAGUCACCUCUGGAAUACUAGAAUUACAAGCAUUCACCCUCAAAACUGACGUUCAUGUGUGUGUGUGUGUGUGUGUGUGUGUGUGUGUGUGUGUGUGUGUAUGUGUGUGCAUGCCAAGGUUGGAGAACAACUUUUAGGAGUCAGUUUUCUCCUUGUGCUUUGGUUUCUGGGGAUUGAACUCAUUUUGUUAGGUUUGCACAAGUGUUUUUGCCCAUUGAGCCAUCUCACUGGACCUUGUAUACUUUUUAACAUAAUGGUCGUUUUUGUUCCAGGAUUCUAUCCACAAUACUCAGUUACAUGUGGUGCCCAGAUAUGUAUCCUUAGGUUCCUCAAGUCAGUGAGAGUUUCUUGAAUUUUCCUUGUUUUGGAAUGGCCUCUACACUGAGCUACAUACCCAGUGAUAUUUAGUAUUUAACAAUAAAAAGGAUUUAAAAUAUUUUUAUUUUCUUGUUUAUUUGGACACAGCGGUCUUAUUACAUAAGUUUUGCUGUUGAAGAACUUGCUAUGUAGUCCAGGUUGGCCUGAACCCACAGACAUUCUCCUGCCUCUGCUUCCCAAGUGCUAGAACUAAAAGUGCCUGCUAUCAUGCUCAGCUUAGGAAUUAUUUUUGAAAUUAGAAAGACAUACACUGGCAUGGAGAACUUUUAAAACAUAUUUCUGUGCACGUGUACACAUGUAUAACCCUACAUACACGAACAGGUUAGUGGACAGCUAUGGGAGUUGGUUUUGUCCUUCCAGCAUGUAGUUCCCAAGGAUGGAACUUAGUUGUCAAAUUUGCCAGCAGGAACCUUUACUCCCUGAGCCAGCUUGCUGCCCUGGAAAAAGUAACCUUUAAAAGAUGGCCUCGCUAGGAGGACAGGUGUUCCAGUGCAGUGCUAAGCAAGCACAUCGUGUAGCCUUGUGUCACUGUCUAUGAAGGAACCGAAAUCAGUGGUGUGGGGCAGAGUGGGUGUUGUCCUCAGAAUUCUGCAGUUUCUAGGAAACUGGGCACCAUCUGUUUCUGAUUAGAGCAUUGAACUUGCAAGAUCAUGAGCUGGGUCUUUGUUACUCUCAACAAAGUCAAGAAGAAGAAGAAGGAGAAGCAGCAGCAGCAGCAGCAGCAGCAGCAGCAGCAGCCGCAGAAGAAGAAGAAGAAGAAGAAGAAGAAGAAGAAGAAGAAGAAGAAGAAGAAGAAGAAGAAGAAGAAGAAGAAGAAGAAGAAGAAGAGUAGUGAUACCAAAUGCUAAGGAUGCCUGUUAACGAGUUUCAAAUCCCAGCCAUGUCUGUUAUGAGCUGUAUGAUCUGAGGACAACUGCACAAGUAAUACGAGUUUCCUCCUCUGAAAACAAAGGCGACAUUAUGCGGCCAGUGGGAACAGUACGGGAUUAAAUGAGGCUUGCCAUACAUCUGCAGAGGAUCUAAAUCAGUGCUUGGCACCAGUGAGGCAUUUCGCCUUCCCUGCCACCUUCCCUUUCUCCCUCCAUGCAUCCGAGGAGGCUAUGGCUUGUGUUAUCUCUCGCUAAGACGACCACACGCUAAAGGAUCAAACCUAAACAGAGCUGGCUUCCAGGGUCCCCUCAUGUGAACCCACACCCUGUCUUUGUGGCCUCCCCACUUUCUACCAUACACACAUCACUCUGUAGCCACACCCAAUUACUAGCUCUUGUCUAAAUACAUGGUACGAUCUCUGUAA
This is a non-coding RNA of Rattus norvegicus (Norway rat), 3176 nucleotides long. The record is from RefSeq and is a predicted model, not a curated record. Lineage: Eukaryota; Metazoa; Chordata; Mammalia; Rodentia; Muridae.